UACGUAGGUGGCAAGCGUUGUCCGGAUUUAUUGGGCGUAAAGCGCGCGCAGGUGGUACGGUAAGUCUGCCGUGAAAUCUCCCGGCUCAACUGGGAGGGGGCGGUGGAGACUGCCGGACUGGAGGGACCUAGAGGCCGGUGGAAUUCCCGGUGGAGUGGUGAAAUGCGUAGAGAUCCGGAGGAACACCAAAGGCGAAGGCAGUGUCCUGGGGAGUACCUGACGCUCAGGUGCGAAAGCCAGGGGAGCGAACGGG
RNAcentral lists this ribosomal RNA (253 nucleotides) under uncultured bacterium. Its description in RNAcentral is "partial 16S ribosomal RNA". It matches the Rfam family "Bacterial small subunit ribosomal RNA", at positions 524 to 776 of the family's 1533-position model. The record is from RNAcentral.